This 653-nucleotide ribosomal RNA is filed under the name uncultured Bacteroides sp. RNAcentral describes it as "bacterial SSU rRNA". It matches the Rfam family "Bacterial small subunit ribosomal RNA", at positions 72 to 730 of the family's 1533-position model. The record is from RNAcentral. Lineage: Bacteria; Pseudomonadati; Bacteroidota; Bacteroidia; Bacteroidales; Bacteroidaceae.
CAGGGUAGCAUACCGCUGACGACCGGCGCACGGGUGAGUAACACGUAUCCAACCUACCCCUUCACGGGGAUAGCCUUUCGAAAGAAAGAUUAAUACCCGCUCUUAUAGCGAUAAGGCAUCUUAUUGCUAUUAAAGAAUUUCGGUGUUUGAUGGGGAUGCGUUCCAUUAGAUUGUUGGUGAGGUAACGGCUCACCAAGUCUUCGAUGGAUAGGGGUUCUGAGAGGAAGGUCCCCCACAUUGGAACUGAGACACGGUCCAAACUCCUACGGGAGGCAGCAGUGAGGAAUAUUGGUCAAUGGACGAGAGUCUGAACCAGCCAAGUAGCGUGAAGGAUGAAGGCCCUAUGGGUCGUAAACUUCUUUUAUAGGGGAAUAAAGUGCGGAACGUGUUCCGCUUUGUAUGUACCCUACGAAUAAGGAUCGGCUAACUCCGUGCCAGCAGCCGCGGUAAUACGGAGGAUCCGAGCGUUAUCCGGAUUUAUUGGGCUUAAAGGGAGCGUAGGUGGACGUAUAAGUCAGUUGUGAAAGUUUGCGGCUCAACCGUAAAAUUGCAGUUGAUACUGUAUGUCUUGAGUGUACAAGAGGUGGGCGGAAUUCGUGGUGUAGCGGUGAAAUGCUUAGAUAUCACGAAGAACUCCGAUUGAAGGGCGAAUU